GAUGAACGCUGGCGGCGUGCCUAAUACAUGCAAGUCGAGCGAACGGACGAGAAGCUUGCUUUUCUGAUGUUAGCGGCGGACGGGUGAGUAACACGUGGAUAACCUACCUAUAAGACUGGGAUAACUUCGGGAAACCGGAGCUAAUACCGGAUAAUAUUUUGAACCGCAUGGUUCAAAAGUGAAAGACGGUCUUGCUGUCACUUAUAGAUGGAUCCGCGCUGCAUUAGCUAGUUGGUAAGGUAACGGCUUACCAAGGCAACGAUGCAUAGCCGACCUGAGAGGGUGAUCGGCCACACUGGAACUGAGACACGGUCCAGACUCUUACGGGAGGCAGCAGUAGGGAAUCUUCCGCAAUGGGCGAAAGCCUGACGGAGCAACGCCGCGUGAGUGAUGAAGGUCUUCGGAUCGUAAAACUCUGUUAUUAGGGAAGAACAUAUGUGUAAGUAAUUGUGCACAUCUUGACGGUACCUAAUCAGAAAGCCACGGCUAACUACGUG
This 497-nucleotide ribosomal RNA is filed under the name uncultured bacterium. RNAcentral describes it as "partial 16S ribosomal RNA". It matches the Rfam family "Bacterial small subunit ribosomal RNA", at positions 28 to 507 of the family's 1533-position model. The record is from RNAcentral.